UACGGGGGGGGCAAGCGUUGUUCGGAAUUACUGGGCGUAAAGGGCUCGUAGGCGGCCAACUAAGUCAUACGUGAAAUCCCUCAGCUUAACUGGGGAACUGCGUGUGAUACUGGAUGGCUUGGAUUUGGGAGAGGGAUGCGGAAUUCCAGGUGUAGCGGUGAAAUGCGUAGAUAUCUGGAGGAACACCGGUGGCGAAGGCGGCAUCCUGGACCAAUAUUGACGCUGAGGCGCGAAAGCUAGGGGAGCAAACAGG
This 253-nucleotide ribosomal RNA is filed under the name uncultured bacterium. RNAcentral's name for it is "partial 16S ribosomal RNA". It matches the Rfam family "Bacterial small subunit ribosomal RNA", at positions 524 to 776 of the family's 1533-position model. The record is from RNAcentral.